Molecule: ribosomal RNA, 106 nt
Organism: Sinocyclocheilus grahami
Lineage: Eukaryota; Metazoa; Chordata; Actinopteri; Cypriniformes; Cyprinidae
Source: Ensembl
GGCCACAGCUAUAUCACCCUGCAGCCCAAGACUGAAGCUAAGCAGGGUUGAGCCUGGUCAGUACCUGGAUGGGAGACUCCUGGGGAAAACUAGGUUGCUGUUGCUG